This is a long non-coding RNA of Clupea harengus (Atlantic herring), 1316 nucleotides long. Lineage: Eukaryota; Metazoa; Chordata; Actinopteri; Clupeiformes; Clupeidae. The record is from Ensembl.
GUGUGUGCGCGCGCGCAAGUGCUAACGGCAUACCUUGCCCUCACAAAAAAGUGUUGCAGCUUGAUGGCACAAUCAAGAGGACUUCUUAAGAGAUAAAAAAAAGGAAAAAUCAGAAUUUGAUGGCAACUAACUUGAGUGUUUAUUUCUCCCUACAAUGUAAUCGUAGCUUACAUCAGUGGCUUCAUUUAUUCCAAGAACAGGGAAGCUCUCGAAAAGAAAACAUUGUUCAUUGAACUUCAAUAAGACUGCAAACUUUUUUGUUUUUGUAUUAACAAAAAAAAAAAAAAGACAACGAAAAGGUUGUACAAAUAUGUUCCAAGUUAUUUUUGUAAACCAUACCAAAAGUUUUACAGUGUUUUUAAAGAAAAGAAUGUAUAUUGUUGGACACUAAAAUGAACGGAUACCAAACUGCAGUAGCCGAAACAGCGAUGGGAGACAGUAUUCAUUGGAAUGAUUUUUUUCUUUCUUUUCUUUGUUUGGCAGUUGAGGCUGACCAUAAAAAAAGGAUCUUCAGUCUGAGGGUUUCUUGUGAACAAACUAAUACCUUCAUUAAUGAGCUGACAAAAAAGGUGUGGUUUUGAAAUAUAUAUUUAUAGGAAGUUGUUUAUUUUUCAGGAAGUUUCUUUUUGUUUCAGAAUGUUUAAUUUUAGGAAUACCAGAAUGUUCUUUCAUACGGGCUACUUGUCAGACAGACGGCCUCACUGACCUCCAUAUCACCCACGACACACACAGACACGCUUGCAUGCAUACACACACACACACAGACACACACACAGACACGCUUGCAUGCAUACACACAUUUUCAUGCACCCCUAUACAAACCCAUUCAUUGCAACCUCAUCACACAGCACGUUUUGAAAGCCACAACUUACAGGACCUGACUCAGGCACUGAUCUCGUCGCAGUUUUUGUCCUUACAUGGAUUAUUUUCUCUUUGUUAUUUUAAGGUAUAGCUGACCCAGGUUUAUAAAGUAUGUACUUUUUUUAUUUUCCUAAAUGACAGUCAUCCACAAAAACUUCCAUGGGAUGCUUUGGUUUGCAUGGAACUGAAGCUUUAGCAUGUUGCAAGAGGGUAUGACCCCCAUAUUUUGCAUCAUCAGUAGUUUGAUGGGCAGUACACCUUUGUCUAGAUCCAUGUUAUUCCCCCACCUCCCCACCCCACCCUACCCUACCCUACCCCAGGUUGGCAGAGGCAAGCCUAGGCUGUGUGACAGUGCAAUCUAGAUAGAAAGAACAUCUGAUUAUCUUUUAGUUUUUAUUGUUUUUCUCUUUUUAUUUGCACCGUUUGAAUAAAAUUCUCAUUGUAUUUAAACACUA